Molecule: ribosomal RNA, 253 nt
Filed under: uncultured bacterium
Lineage: Bacteria
Description: partial 16S ribosomal RNA
Rfam family: Bacterial small subunit ribosomal RNA
Source: RNAcentral
UACGAAGGGUGCAAACGUUGCUCGGAAUUAUUGGGCGUAAAGCGCACGUAGGCGGCUUUUCAAGUCCCAUGUGAAAGCCCACGGCUUAACCGUGGAAGUGCAUGGGAAACUGGAAGGCUUGAGUACUUAAGAGGAUCGCGGAACUCCCGGUGUAGAGGUGAAAUUCGUAGAUAUCGGGAGGAACACCAGUGGCGAAGGCGGCGAUCUGGGAAGAUACUGACGCUGAGGUGCGAAAGCGUGGGGAGCAAACAGG